GGCUCAGAUUGAACGCUGGCGGCAGGCCUAACACAUGCAAGUCGAGCGGUAGAGAGAAGCUUGCUUCUCUUGAGAGCGGCGGACGGGUGAGUAAUACCUAGGAAUCUGCCUGAUAGUGGGGGAUAACGUUCGGAAACGGACGCUAAUACCGCAUACGUCCUACGGGAGAAAGCAGGGGACCUUCGGGCCUUGCGCUAUCAGAUGAGCCUAGGUCGGAUUAGCUAGUUGGUGAGGUAAUGGCUCACCAAGGCUACGAUCCGUAACUGGUCUGAGAGGAUGAUCAGUCACACUGGAACUGAGACACGGUCCAGACUCCUACGGGAGGCAGCAGUGGGGAAUAUUGGACAAUGGGCGAAAGCCUGAUCCAGCCAUGCCGCGUGUGUGAAGAAGGUCUUCGGAUUGUAAAGCACUUUAAGUUGGGAGGAAGGG
This 429-nucleotide ribosomal RNA is filed under the name Pseudomonas sp. R-38812. RNAcentral's name for it is "bacterial SSU rRNA". It matches the Rfam family "Bacterial small subunit ribosomal RNA", at positions 21 to 452 of the family's 1533-position model. The record is from RNAcentral. Lineage: Bacteria; Pseudomonadati; Pseudomonadota; Gammaproteobacteria; Pseudomonadales; Pseudomonadaceae.